Molecule: ribosomal RNA, 407 nt
Filed under: uncultured bacterium
Lineage: Bacteria
Description: partial 16S ribosomal RNA
Rfam family: Bacterial small subunit ribosomal RNA
Source: RNAcentral
AUUGAACGCUGGCGGCAGGCCUAACACAUGCACGUCGUGCGAAGCGGUGGACGGGUGAGUAAUGCCUAGGACUCUGCCUGGUAGUGGGGGAUAACGUCCGGAAACGGGCGCUAAUACCGCAUACUAUCAGAUGAGCCUAGGUCGGAUUAGCUCGUUGGUGGGGUAAAGGCCUUCCAAGGCGACGAUCCGUAACUGGUCUGCGAGGAUGAUCAGUCACACUGGAACGGAGAAACGGUCCAGACUCCUACGGGAGGCAGCAGUGGGGAAUAUUGGACAAUGGGCGAAAGCCGGAUACAGCCAUGCCGCGUGUGGUAAGAAGGUCGUCGGAUUGUAAAGCACUUUAAGUUGGUAGGCGUUACCAACAGAAUAAGCACAGGCUAACUUCGUGCCAGCAGCCGCGGUAAUAC